UACGAAGGGGGCUAGCGUUGCUCGGAAUCACUGGGCGUAAAGGGUGCGUAGGCGGGUCUUUAAGUCAGGGGGGAAAUCCUGGAGCUCAACUCCAGAACUGCCUUUGAUACUGAAGAUCUUGAGUUCGGGAGAGGUGAGUGGAACUGCGAGUGUAGAGGUGAAAUUCGUAGAUAUUCGCAAGAACACCAGUGGCGAAGGCGGCUAACUGGUCCGGUUCUGACGCUGAGGCGCGAAAGCGUGGGGAGCAAACAGG
This 253-nucleotide ribosomal RNA is filed under the name uncultured bacterium. Its description in RNAcentral is "partial 16S ribosomal RNA". It matches the Rfam family "Bacterial small subunit ribosomal RNA", at positions 524 to 776 of the family's 1533-position model. The record is from RNAcentral.